This is a non-coding RNA of Macaca mulatta (Rhesus monkey), 1710 nucleotides long. NCBI's taxonomy places the organism in Eukaryota, Metazoa, Chordata, Mammalia, Primates, Cercopithecidae. The record is from RefSeq and is a predicted model, not a curated record.
CAGCUCCAUAAGGGAAGAGAUUUUUGUUUUGUUCACUGAUGUAUCCUCGGUGCCUGCAACAGUGUCUGACAUAUGAAGAGCACUUAAUAAAUACCUGUUGAAAGAAAGAACCAAUCAGCAGAUUUAUCAAAAAUGGAUUUGUCAAUGAUUGUCUGAAGUUCAGAAUAGCUCCCGUUUUCCCACAGAAGCAAUGCUAUGGAUGCUGUAGUCUCAGAUGAACUCAUGGAAACCUACUAAACUCAUAAUUUAGCCAAAAAAUAAUAUUUUGGUACAGAGCACCAUUCGGGGACAGUCUUCCCAGAAUGAAGUUGAAGGGCAGCCAUAUGUUCCUCAGGCUUGCUAAGAGAGGUCCAGAGGUUGGCUAAGAGCAGAUGGAGUUCAACUGGGUCUUGCAAGUUCUGGAGGUAAGAAGUCCAAAAUGGUCACACUGGACUAAAAUCAAGUUGUCGGCAGCUCUGUUCCUGAUGGAAGCUCUAGAGGAGAAUCCGUUCCCUUGGCUCCUCUCUCUUCUAGAGGCUGUCCGCCUUUCUUGGCUCUUCCAACCAGCAUUUACUUCGCUCCUACUUCUGCUUCCAUCAUCACAAUUCCUUCUCUCACUCAGACCCUCCUGCCUCCCAUUUUCACUAAUAAGGACCCUCAUGAUAACAUUGGGCCCACUCUUGUAACCCAGUAUCAUCUCCCCAUCACAAGAAACUUAACUCACAUCUGGAAAGUUCCUUUCUCUAUAUAAGGUAACACAUUGACAGGUUUCUGGGGAUUCGGAUUUGGGGAUGUUUGGAGGUCAUUAUUCUGCCUAAUACAAGGCCAUAAACUAUUGAGUUUCAUUUCUAACAGAGAAGUGUCAGAAGAAAAUGAAUGAUCAAUUGUCAUGUUUUAUAAUUGUUCAUCUCCCUCUCAUACACCCCCAAACCUUUUUAUUCCUGUGCCCUAUCUCUAUUUUAUAUUAGAAAUGGCUAGAAUUUGUUGGGUGUUUGUAAGUGUCAGCUACUGUGCUAGGCAACUUACUUGUAUUUUCAUAUUUAAUUGUCUCAACAAUCCAAUGAGGUAAGUGCCAUCCUCAUCCCCGUGUUGUGAAUGGGAAAACUGAGGCUUACAGAAGGUAAGUCAUUUGUCUGAGAUUUUACAGCUGAAAUUCAAACCUAGGUCUGUUUGAAUUGAGCUAGGGCUCCUAAACAAUAAGAAAAAAAAAAACAGAAUAUAUUGAGGCUUACAACAAACAAAGGUCUCUUCUUGCUCGUGCUCCAUAUUGGACACUACGUGUUCAUCUGGGGCCUGCUGCAGCCUGCACAUCAUGAUCAUUCUGAGACUCUGGCUGAAGAGGCAGCCCCUGCCUGGGAGAUUGUCCUUCUCAGAUGCUGCUCUUCGUUAGCAGUGGGGAAAGACAGGGAUGGAGUGGGACUUCUUGGAGGCUUUUAGGGUGUUAAUUUGGAAGUGAUGUGCCCCAUUUCUGUUCACAUCUCAUUGGCCAAAACAAACUCAGUGACCAAGCCUGAUAUCCAUGUAGCUGGGAUGAAUCAUUCUGUCACCAUGCAGGGCAGCAAAUAUUUGGAAAUGAUAAUACACUCUGCUAUGACUCUUAGCUCUGUGCUCACUGAGAUGAGAGGAAAAACAAUAAACUAUUAUUAUCACAGAGAGUCAAGAUGACUUUGGACUUUCCUUAGUGGCACAGCACUCACCUCCAGGCCAGAUGGACUCCUGGGUCUAUGUAGA